GGGUCGGGAUUGAUUUGUAACCUUUUUUUUGGAAAAUUUUCACAUGCACAGGAGUAGAGAGAAGAGAAUAACGAAGCUCUGUGCACCUAUCGUGUAGCUGUAAACUUACCAACACUUUACCAAUUUUAUUUCAUCUGUUUCCCAUCCUUCCCCAGCCCCGCUUAAGGAGUUUCAAACAGAUCCCAGCUGUCAUGAUAUUUCCCUGCGGCAGGAGCAAGCGUUGUUAAUCCCCUCUCAUGGGAAAACAGAGGCACUGACGAGUUAAGAAUCUCACCCAGGACACCCCGAGGCUGUGGGGAAGGAAGGCACCAGAGGCCGGUUCCCUCCAUCCUGUCACCCCCGGGUGACUUCCUCGGUUACAGCGAGCGUGUCACCCACACUGCCCGCUGUGGCAACAGCGUUCACACAGAUUGCCCGCAUGGAUGGGUUUAUCUCACCCCCAAGCAUCUCAAUAAAUCAAAAGAGUUAACUUCCUGAGACUACAAACCGGGAUCCCUUUAAAGAAUUACAAGGAAGUCAAGUCCCCGAGGUGAUGUUUGCUCAGAAGAAUGCUAUGUAAAGCCCAAACAUAUGGCAUCAUGAAGAAGCAGCAUGGCAGCCCUGGAAAGCCUUGUUUGGUUGUUGCGCUGGCAAAACCAGCAUCCCCGCCAGGACACCCGGCAGCAGAGGCCAUUUCCCACCAAGGCACCGGGAAGGACUGGGGUUUUCUCCUGACCCCUUUUUGAGCUUUGGGUACCUGGGCCAUCAGGGGAACAGUUUUAGACACAUCACCACCCUCCAGCGUCCGCACAGGCGUGUGACUGCCAGGGCAGCCCUCGGAGGUGAUGUGGGGGUCUCCUUUGUCCCUGCGGAGCUGCUGGGAGAUGUUGGUUAGAUAACAAAGGACUUGGCCUUUGUCCCCAGUUCCUGGGAGGCAGCCUCUAACUCUUCAGCUGAGUUUAUGCUAAGGGGGUGGGUCAGGGCAGCCCUUAAAUAGCUUCAGGAUGACGGCCUCUCAGGCCAGAAAGACCACCAGGGGUUCGGAGGGCUGGGACUCUGAGCCAAGUGAUUUCAGGCCAACCUCUUGACCUCCAGGGAGGGGAGCUGGAGCUUGGGUUCAAUCACGUGACUAGUGACUUAAUCUUGCCCACAUAAUGAGCCUCCAAUAAGAACUCCAAACACCGGAGACCCACGUGAGCCUCUUGGUUGGCGACACACACGGAUGUGCCAGGAAGAUGGCACCUGAGGGCACAGAGGCCCUGCACUAGAGGCCCUCCCAGAUCUCGCCCUGUGGGUUCCUUCUUUGGGCUGGUCCUGAUUUGUAUCUUUUAUGGUAAAACUAUAGCGCGUUCCUGAGUUCUGAGCUAUUCUAGCAAAUGACUGAACCAGAAGAGGUGGUGGGAACCCCUGAAAUUAAUUGCCACUUGUCAGAAGCACCAGUGGUUGGGACCCCUAAAGUUUGGGCAGUGUCUGGCGUGAGAGCAGUCCUGUGGGAGACCAUGCCCUCACCCCGUGGACCUGCACUGACCAGCACACCCUCCUUGGGCCCGAUCAGUCCUGCACCCACCCCCAGGUCUCAACACAGCACCUUGGGAGCCUGGGGGCCUUUCCCCGUGGCUACACAGGCGAUGCACCGUCCCAGGACACCCUCGAGAGAAGGCCAGAGCUCCAGCCAACUUGAGAACUUCCUUUCUUCCCUGAGCCUUCCCUCGUUCCGGAGGCGGCGACGGGCCAUAUGUUCUGAGGACGCCGGCGCUCUGCUUUGGCUCCCCCCGCCUGGCUCAGAGCUGAGGAAGAUAUAUUUUAAGCCCCGCAUUUAAAAAUAAAAACCUUGGCACGGCUUGCGAUGAACUAAAAA
Miniopterus natalensis is the source of this 1837-nucleotide non-coding RNA. The record is from RefSeq and is a predicted model, not a curated record. Lineage: Eukaryota; Metazoa; Chordata; Mammalia; Chiroptera; Miniopteridae.